This is a non-coding RNA of Carica papaya (papaya), 367 nucleotides long. NCBI's taxonomy places the organism in Eukaryota, Viridiplantae, Streptophyta, Magnoliopsida, Brassicales, Caricaceae. The record is from RefSeq and is a predicted model, not a curated record.
CCCAAACCCUCCUCGAUUCCGCCCAACGCAGAUCCAUUUCCUCCUCCACUUGUUCUUUACCCGAUAAAGCGCCGGUUUCCCCACCCAGAAAUCUAAUUGAAUCUGCUCAUCGCCGCUCCAUAUCCAAAUCUACGUGUUCCCUCGAGAAAAAAACCCUUGAGUACUAACUCAAACGGCUGGCAUAAGGAAGAAGAUGAAGCUCGGGAACUUAGCCUCAACGGGUUCCUUAAGGAGCAGAGAAUAAAGAUUGAGAAGAUUUUGAACGGUGAUAUUAAUUCCAAGGCCAAGAUUGUGCUCUCUGGACCUUCAAACAGCACGAGUUCAAUGGUGGCAGCUCUGUGCUACGCGUGGCUGUUAGAAAAUAGGG